Molecule: ribosomal RNA, 423 nt
Filed under: uncultured bacterium
Lineage: Bacteria
Description: bacterial SSU rRNA
Rfam family: Bacterial small subunit ribosomal RNA
Source: RNAcentral
AGCACUGUAGGUGUCAGCAGCCGCGGUAAUACGUAGGGGGCUAGCGUUAUCCGGAUUUACUGGGCGUAAAGGGUGCGUAGGUGGUUUCUUAAGUCAGGAGUGAAAGGCUACGGCUCAACCGUAGUAAGCUCUUGAAACUGGGAAACUUGAGUGCAGGAGAGGAAAGUGGAAUUCCUAGUGUAGCGGUGAAAUGCGUAGAUAUUAGGAGGAACACCAGUAGCGAAGGCGGCUUUCUGGACUGUAACUGACACUGAGGCACGAAAGCGUGGGGAGCAAACAGGAUUAGAUACCCUGGUAGUCCACGCCGUAAACGAUGAGUACUAGGUGUCGGGGGUUACCCCCCUCGGUGCCGGCAGCUAACGCAUUAAGUACUCCGCCUGGGGAGUACGCUCGCAAGAGUGAAACUCAAAUGAAAUUGGCGGG